RNAcentral lists this long non-coding RNA (1931 nucleotides) under Toxoplasma gondii VEG. The record is from RNAcentral. Lineage: Eukaryota; Apicomplexa; Conoidasida; Eucoccidiorida; Sarcocystidae.
CCAAGAAUCAAUUGUUUAGAUACUGGCGUGUUUUGGCCUCAUUCUGAACUGGUAUUGCGGGGUUUUAUAGCGAACACGUAAAUGCCCAAGCGAGACGGGGUUAUUGAUUGCCCAAGCGUCUCAUGCACGCUAUAGCUAACUACAGUUUAACUUUUUGUCAUUCUUCCUUUCAGAGGCUUUUGCUGGGAGCGUGCGGAUUCACGGUCCAGUCCAUCUAAUUUGAUUACCCCACACACGAGAAAAAAUCUGAUUGUUGGAUGUGCCGACAUCUGGUGUUGACGCCAGGUAUGACGGUGUCUAUUUUUUUCGCAAUUCUACACUAACAAUCACUGGCCUUUGUGAAUUCGUCGCCUCGAUAUUAUCUCACCUAUAUUUCAUGUUGUGCUGGCUCUUCGUUACUGGGCUUGAUGUGUGGCAAACGCACCGUUGCAUUGUGCUUACUCGCUUGCCAGGUCGUGUGCACGAUAUCCUGUACAGUCCAGUGACCAGUUGGACGAUUGGCUGCCUCUAUCCCUUCGCUCCCUUGGAGCUAAACAUCCCAUGCCGCUCGUAGUUUUCUCCGGGCUGCGCAAGCCGACAGUUUCAUCACCAGUUGUUCGCAGGCGAUUCAAUGUUGCCGGCGGGGGGGAUACUGAGGACUUGUGAGGCAGUCUUACAGUUUUAUCUUUCGGCAAAAGCUUCCGUAUUUUCAAAGCUCCUGUCGAACUCACGGCACGUUCGAGUUUUUUGUCUUCGGGCAGCCCACUGGAGUCCGUAUAUCAUCUCUUGCCAUGGAAUUCAAAUCUUGUGAUCUGCUGCGAUACGUAUGAACUAGGCUGUUUAGCGUCCGUAACUUUAACAGCCAGAACCUUUUUGCCACUCAAAAGGAAACCAACACCGUUGUUUUCACCUCUUUCUCGAGUGGGUUUUCGAGUUGCACACGUCUGCUUUGUCGACGGUCGCAGCAAUACGUCUGCAUGCAGACAAAGAGAUCUCCUCGUUCGCGCAUGAUUCUUCCGUGUCCCUAAUUCGACUUCCUCUCAUCAGGAUACGUACCGGAAGGUGUUUACGUUUUCUGGCUCGAAGUCACCAGGCGUGGCCGGCACCGAAAGCCAUCUCGCUUUUCUAUCCUUCACACGAUGUUGAUCUGCUGCGUUUUCAUUGGGGCAGCGUUGGUGGGUGUCGCAGCUCUUAGCGAAGGUAUCCGCAGAUCGGGAGUUCUGACAGCGUCUUCCUCACAACCUGAACGGCGAGGGGGCUGUCGUGGUCGUGUCCAUACGCCGGCGUAAACGACCCACGUAUAUCUAUAUCUAUAUAUAACGUAUGCGCAUAUAUUUUGGACUGCGUGAAUAUUCGCGUAUAUGCAUAGCUCAGAGAUACUUGUAUUUCCUUGCACUUCUAUACACUUUCCGGCGUCUGACAUGGUUGCGAUUUGACACAGUGUAAGCGAUACCACAACACGUUCAUACCGUUUGUCGCCGCGGAGGCGUUUGUCUCUGCUAUGGCGGCUGUGAGGUAACAACGUUCAACACUCUUCAAAGCGAGGAUUCGACCACAUUUUCGGUAGCUGAAGGCUGUGGAGAUCUCCCAAGCCUGGUCGCCGUAGAAGAUUCCGUCUUUAUCCCAGGAAGUUUGAGGGACUAUUGAGACCUGAACCUCUGCGGUGCUCGAAGUGCUUCGUAAGCUGUUUGAUACAUUUCACACUGGCAUGCCCAUCAGGCAUCGGGACCCAUCGGUCGUGCAACUCCAGAAAAAAGCAGUAAACUGAAUCUGCGCGGCUGAGUCUCGCAAACCAAGAACAGAAGCAUAUGAAGUAUGUAAUGGUGUAUGACCUGUGAGAAAUGUCCACAAUUAUGUAGAGGGUGCUCAGUUACGGUGGAUACCCGGCCAGCUGCCCGUGGAUCCCGAAAAGGAAACACCAGCAGGGCGUCACCUCCUUCCUAGCAAGUGGG